GAGAGGUUUGCUAUUUUUUGCAAAGAAUGCAGGAUUCGAUCAUGGCUAUGCUUGAUUUAACAGGUUCUAAUGGACAAUAUUCUGAAUGUAAGGUAGAGUGAGAAAGCUAAGAAUUGGGUGAGGAAGCUAAUAAGGUUGGUAUACAUGCUAAUCAGAAGUAAAAUAUGAAUUUAUCAGGAAUACAUUUCCUCUGCAAUUUAUCCUGGCACAAUCCUGGUUGAGACAGUGACACUGUCUCACUCAACCAGUUCAACUAAAUGUUCACAUGUUUGAGCAGGUGCAUAUGAGACAUGCAAAGAAACUUGGAAAUGACUGAAGAACUGGAAAUUUUUUCCUUGUGCUCAGAAAUAUUUAGCGAUCACUCCAUAUACUUGUCAGAAAGAUAGUUCAGGAGUGGCUUGAUGACAUGGAGUACAUGCUUCAGAACACCUUGCACCUUUUCUGUCACCUGCGAGAAAUGUAUUGCUUCAUUAUUCAGAAUGAAAAGCCCUUUGGAGAUGAUGAAGACAUCGGAUUUUAUAUACUGGUGGACUGUUCUCUGCUGAGGGCCACAUACACAGAACAAUGUAUAAAUGCAUCAGGGGCUAAAAAAUGAAGAGAUGAGCUGUUGCAGUCUCCAGGGCAGUUCAAAAAUCGUAGUUAAAAGCACAUAACAACAACCCAACCUUGAACUUGGAAACAUCACUGUCCUAAGCGUUAACUAGCUACGAAGGAUAACAUGGAGAGAGAGAGGAUUUAUGCCACAGCAGGGAAUAUGUGGGCCAAUGACAGGGAUACAUCAUCUCUCCCAAAUCCUGGUUGUACCCAACUUGUCAGUACCGGUUACAGCUACUGUGCAUAUAGUAUUAAUGCUUUUCUGUUAAAUCAAGCAGAUCUUCUGUUGUGAUCUAAUGAAUUCAGUUUCCAUAAUUAAAAUUAUUAAAAAGUCUUUGUUGAUGGUAUCUGACAUAAAUAAGAACACUGAAAGGCAUUUUCUGCAGGAGAACCCUCACCAAUAUUUGCCUGCAUUCUGCUGGCUCCCUGUGGUUUUAGUAAGACUAACAAAAUAGAACCUUAAUUUUAGAGGUUGGUCAGCUGUAGCAAAUAAACGUCAAAAGCAAUGAAAUGAGCUUACCGAAAACACACAAGAUUUCCUUUUGAAAAACCUAGGGAAACAUAAAAAGAUCAGAAACUUCUUGCCUCAAACAUGUAUCCAGAAUCAUUGAGUUCUUACUGAUGUUUUAAUACCAGAAUAGUAGCAAUAUAUUCUUCAGAUUUUCUUCACAACAGGAAGAGUUGUUAUUUGAGGCAGUUAAGGAAAAUCACAGAUCACACCAGCACUCCAAGCACUACUGCUGAACAAGAUAGCAGAUUGCAAUAUUGCUUCUUUCCUUGCUUCUUGCAGCACUGCACAUAAAUAGUCUGCAGAAUAAAUGUUUCACUUCAGAGUGGAAUUUUCUCCAUUCAUCAUCUGAUUAUUUUAUAAUUUUAUUAAUUAUAGUUCAUCUCAAUUCAGUGCCUCAUUAGAAGAACAGACAAUUUGGUGUUAUUGACAAAUGGUUGUGUGAUACAUAUGGAUAAUCAAUUACACUAAUAUCCCAUGAAAUGAAAGUGAGGCUAAAUGGAUUGAAAAUACCACCCUUCAUGGGCUUCCCCUGCUUUCCUUUUGAAUGUCAACCAUGAAAGACAACCCAGCAGUAGGCAAUCUGUGAGUCAGACAGAUGUGUGGCACUCGCUUUUAACUUUCUGUGUAUAAAACAAUCCCCAGGUGAUUCUAUCUACACUGCUGUUGGAUGACAUUCCAUAAAUGACAGACUGUAGUGCCUAACUGGAACUUCCCACCUCAAAGAUUUAGCUAACAAACCCCAGAAACAUAUCCGUAUUAUUCUGUAUCACUUUUAUUAAUUUAUUUCCUAGUAAUUAAGAUAUUAAUUACUAUACAUAAUUACUCACAUUAGCAACCUAAUAAAAUAUUAGAUACAAAAUAAUAAUCCAUUUUCUUUAAAAAAGAGGACAUUGUUGUACAUUGUAUGUUACAACACUUGUUCUGAAUUUGCAAUUGAAGGAGCUACUCCAGUAUGUGAUUUAUUAUCCCGUGGCUCACUCUGUGUCAUGGCAGGGGAUGAUUUAUUUUACAGGAAACUGAAAAAAUACAUGGUAUGAUAUGGAUGUACUUUGCAAAUACUUGCCAAACUAAACAAUAGUAAUAAUAAAAGGGGAAAACACUGGUAACUUACAAAAUUGUA
Long non-coding RNA from Manacus vitellinus (golden-collared manakin), 2225 nucleotides. RefSeq lists it as uncharacterized. The transcript has 3 exons. The record is from RefSeq and is a predicted model, not a curated record. NCBI's taxonomy places the organism in Eukaryota, Metazoa, Chordata, Aves, Passeriformes, Pipridae.